CUCCGCCCGCCCCCAGCGAAGAGAAACAAAACACAACCCCGGCACCGCCACGCUCUCCCUCCUUCUCCUCUCGGCAUUUGGUGGUUGUUUUUAUUUUUUUUAUUAUUAUUUAUUUUUUCUUUAAUUUUUUUUUUCUUGGGGAUUCUCCUCUCUCCUGCCAGACUGACUUACACGUUCUUGAUAAUUUCUCUUCCCCUCAUUUUUUAUACUCUUCUCCCUGCUUCCAAACCCUGUGUCUGUGUGUUUCAAUACUAUUACAACCUCUGCUAAAAAUAGAUCUUUUUAUACCCUUCCUCCUCUCUGACCCCAUCCAACACCCCUUGUUAAGGUAACUAUCUUACUCCAAGAACAAGAAAAGUAAAUUCACUUGGCUGUCCCACAUCUCUAAGGAACCUGAUGCAUGAGUGGAGUAGAGAAGAGGAAGAGAGAAAAACUCCAGAGACCUACAGAUCAUCUGGCUGGCAGGGUCAAGUUUUCUUUGGAUUGAGGUGGAACUGUGGCUCAUGGACAUCUGAUGUGAUAGCCUUCCUUAUUCCAAGUCUCUGUGGCCUUAAAGAGAUUCAGUUAUUGACAUGUAGAGCAUACUCAAGACUUCUAGAUAUCUUGAGACUGUAAAAGCUGACCACCAACAGAAGGUUUUUAAAUAUCAUUCUUCUGACAAGUAAGUUCUUCAUUCUCAGAUUAUUUAUUUAUUUUUUUUUUCUCUGUGGUAUUCCUGACCUGGAUUUUAUUUUUGUAUUUAUUAUGUGGACUAUCACAUUCAUUUUCUGGGCCAAGUAAGCAUGAGUGCAAAUUGAAUAGUAUGGAAUUGCUCCUAAAUUUCCCAGCUAGAAUGAAACCUAUCAAUAUUACAGCUAGAGCUGAGAUAAAGCACUGACUCACCUAAUUAUCCCAACUUGCAGAGCCAGUGGAACUGAGGUCAUAUCUCUGGAUGUUUUGGGAAACCUUUUGCCCUUUUUUGGUUGGAAAAAUUAAAUUAGUUAAAUAUUUGCAGGAUCUUGCUGGAUUUAGGGAAAGAAAGCUAGAAGAACUUGGAAACUGCUGGAAAUAAUAGUGUCUGAGGAUAGCCUCUACAGUUAUAGGAAAGAGUGUUAGAAGAACUGGUGAGGAUUGGGAAAAGUGGAGAAGAAAAAAAAUUUGCAUUGGAAUGAGGAAGACAAUCCUUACUGAGAGGAAUAGAAAAGAAAGUUCCUUCCUGUUCAGGACUUGUUGAGAAAGAGCUUCAGAACUUAUUAAAAUUUUAGUUUUCAUAACACCCUGCAUUUUAAAACACAAAGUUAUUCUAAACAAUGAAGUUCACUUAGCCUAACUUCUUAAGUGAGAGAUCUCUUUUGGAGCAGCUCCAGAGAGCACUGCUCCAAAACAUUAAUGCAGAUUCUCAUAGCACUACUAAAUUUCAUCUUUCUUUCUAGCUUCAUAAAAUUGCUUUAAUUACUAUGUUAUUUUCUACUUCGUGGAAUAUAUUUCACUUAUUUCACUUCAGUGAAUCCAAUAGAUUUUAUGAAAUGGAGAAAAAACCCCCACCUGGUUACAGGUUGGUUCAAUUUUGAAAGUCAUGUUUUAUUACUCUGUGAUUGAUUGGUGUUGAAAUUUUAGGACUUUCUUU
Parus major (Great Tit) is the source of this 1606-nucleotide long non-coding RNA. The record is from Ensembl. Lineage: Eukaryota; Metazoa; Chordata; Aves; Passeriformes; Paridae.